GGCGGCACGCUUAACACAUGCAAGUCGAACGAGAAACUCGGAGCUUGCUCUGGGUGGACAGUGGCGAACGGGUGAGGAACACGUGAGGAACCUGCCCUGGAGACCGGGACAACAUCGGGAAACCGUUGCUAAUACCGGAUGCCGUCAUCGGAUCGCAUGAUCUGAUGACGAAAUGGAUUCCGCUCCAGGAUGGCCUCGCGGCCUAUCAGCUUGUUGGUGGGGUAACGGCCCACCAAGGCUUCGACGGGUAGCUGGUCUGAGAGGAUGUCCAGCCACACUGGGACUGAGACACGGCCCAGACUCCUACGGGAGGCAGCAGUGGGGAAUCUUGCGCAAUGGGCGAAAGCCUGACGCAGCGACGCCGCGUGAGGGAAGAAGGCCUUCGGGUUGUAAACCUCUUUCAGGAGGGACGAAGCCACUCGGGUUAAUAGCCCAGAAGGUGACGGUACCUCCAGAAGAAGCCCCGGCUAACUACGUGCCAGCAGCCGCGGUAAUACGUAGGGGGCAAGCGUUGUCCGGAUUUAUUGGGCGUAAAGA
RNAcentral lists this ribosomal RNA (537 nucleotides) under uncultured Actinomycetes bacterium. RNAcentral's name for it is "bacterial SSU rRNA". It matches the Rfam family "Bacterial small subunit ribosomal RNA", at positions 38 to 566 of the family's 1533-position model. The record is from RNAcentral. Lineage: Bacteria; Bacillati; Actinomycetota; Actinomycetes.